Long non-coding RNA from Sander lucioperca (pikeperch), 164 nucleotides. RefSeq lists it as uncharacterized. The transcript is spliced from 2 exons. The record is from RefSeq and is a predicted model, not a curated record. NCBI's taxonomy places the organism in Eukaryota, Metazoa, Chordata, Actinopteri, Perciformes, Percidae.
CAGCUGGAACACCUGCUGCCAGUCCAAGGUUUCGGCCUACAGGAGAGGAGUUUCCAUCCUCAGGGACAUCAUUCAUUGAACUCACUCACCUGCUGGCUCUGUAACCUGCAGACGGAUGGUUCUGAUUGGCUCAGAGUCGAUGACGGCUCUCUUUUUACGUCUGA